CGGCGGACGGGUGAGUAACACGUGGAUAACCUACCUAUAAGACUGGGAUAACUUCGGGAAACCGGAGCUAACACCGGAUAAUAUAUUGAACCGCAUGGUUCAAUAGUGAAAGACGGUUUUGCUGUCACUUAUAGAUGGAUCCGCGCCGCAUUAGCUAGUUGGUAAGGUAACGGCUUACCAAGGCAACGAUGCGUAGCCGACCUGAGAGGGUGAUCGGCCACACUGGAACUGAGACACGGUCCAGACUCCUACGGGAGGCAGCAGUC
Molecule: ribosomal RNA, 266 nt
Filed under: uncultured Staphylococcus sp.
Lineage: Bacteria; Bacillati; Bacillota; Bacilli; Caryophanales; Staphylococcaceae
Description: partial 16S ribosomal RNA
Rfam family: Bacterial small subunit ribosomal RNA
Source: RNAcentral